Molecule: ribosomal RNA, 216 nt
Filed under: Scelotrichia willcairnsi
Lineage: Eukaryota; Metazoa; Arthropoda; Insecta; Trichoptera; Hydroptilidae
Description: partial 28S ribosomal RNA
Rfam family: Eukaryotic large subunit ribosomal RNA
Source: RNAcentral
UGAAAAGUAUAGUCGCGCGGUCCAUUAGUCACGGUCGUCGGUCCAAGUUCAUCUUGAACGGGGCCCCGCUUGUCCAGAGAGGGUGCCAGGCCCGUAGCGACGACGGCCGGCCGCGACGGUCUCUCUCCCGAGAGUCGGGUUGCUUGAGAGUGCAGCCCCAAGCGGGUGGUAGACUCCAUCUAAGGCUGAAUACGGCCACGAGACCGAUAGCGAACA